GAUCCUGGCUCAGGAUGAACGCUAGCGGAGGCCUAACACAUGCAAGCCGAGCGGUAUUGUUCUUCGGAAAUGAGAGAGCGGCGUACGGGUGCGGAACACGUGUGCAACCUGCCUUUAUCUGGGGGAUAGCCUUUCGAAAGGAAGAUUAAUACUCCAUAACAUAUUGAACGGCAUCGUUUGAUAUUGAAAGCUCCGGCGGAUAGAGAUGGGCACGCGCAAGAUUAGCUAGUUGGUGAGGUAACGGCUCACCAAGGCGAUGAUCUUUAGGGGGCCUGAGAGGGUGAUCCCCCACACUGGUACUGAGACACGGACCAGACUCCUACGGGAGGCAGCAGUGAGGAAUAUUGGUCAAUGGGUGCAAGCCUGAACCAGCCAUCCCGCGUGAAGGACGACUGCCCUAUGGGUUGUAAACUUCUUUUGUAUAGGGAUAAACCUACCCUCGUGAGGGUAGCUGAAGGUACUAUACGAAUAAGCACCGGCUAACUCCGUG
Molecule: ribosomal RNA, 490 nt
Filed under: uncultured bacterium
Lineage: Bacteria
Description: bacterial SSU rRNA
Rfam family: Bacterial small subunit ribosomal RNA
Source: RNAcentral